This 803-nucleotide long non-coding RNA is filed under the name Salmo salar (Atlantic salmon). RNAcentral's name for it is "lncRNA (ENSSSAG00000102603.1)". The record is from RNAcentral. Lineage: Eukaryota; Metazoa; Chordata; Actinopteri; Salmoniformes; Salmonidae.
AGAAAAGAGAAGAUGAUAAGAGAAUAGAUGAGAAGAUGGAACACAUCCCGUAGUUUUCACAUUCUCCACUUGAAGAUCCAAAGCCAGGCAGACAGUGGUGCUAGCUAGGCAUGGCUGAACCUCUUUCAUCCCAUUCAGUCUGUUUGUUUCAUAGACCGAGUGCAGCAGCAACCCUUCACCAGCUAUACAGACAGACAUGGACUGACCCUUAUCUCUGGCCCUUUCUAGGACCUGAGCCCUAGGACCAUGCCUCAGGACUACCUGGUAUGAUGACUCCUUGCUGUCCCCAGUCCACCUGGCCGUGCUGCUGCUCCAGUUUCAACUGUUCUGCCUGCGGCUAUGGAACCCUGACCUGUUCACCGGACGUGCUUGUUGCACCCUCGACAACUACUAUGAUUAUUAUUAUUUGACCAUGCUGGUCAUUUAUGAACAUUUUAACAUUUUAACAUCUUGACCAUGUUCUGUUAUAAUAUCCACCCUGCACAGCCAGAAGAGGACUGGCCACCCCUCAUAGCCUGGUUCCUCUCUAGGUUUCUUCAUAGGUUUUUGGCCUUUCUAGGGAGUUUUUCCUAGGGAGUUUUUCCUAGCCACCGUGCUUCUUUCACAUGCUUUGCUUGCUGUUUGGGGUUUUAGGCUGGGUUUCUGUACAGCACUUUGAGAAUAUCAGCUGAUGUACGAAGGGCUAUAUAAAAAUAAAUUUGAUUUGAUUUGAUUUGUCGUAGGAGGUUCGAAGGCAUGUCUGAGGCUUUCUGUGAUAAAAGGAAGAGCGGAAAGGCCCUGGAUGGCAGGUACUGUAGCUUGGC